RNAcentral lists this transfer RNA (72 nucleotides) under Ovis aries (sheep). It matches the Rfam family "tRNA". Rfam says of the family: Transfer RNA (tRNA) molecules are approximately 80 nucleotides in length. Their secondary structure includes four short double-helical elements and three loops (D, anti-codon, and T loops). The record is from Rfam by way of RNAcentral. Lineage: Eukaryota; Metazoa; Chordata; Mammalia; Artiodactyla; Bovidae.
UCCCUGGCGGCUCAGACGGUAAAGCGUCUGCCUACAAUGCAGGAGACCCGGGUUCGAUCCCUAGCUCGGGAA